GAUGAACGCUGGCGGCAGGCCUAACACAUGCAAGUCGAGGGGCAGCACGUAAAGUGGUUUACUACUUUUGGUGGCGACCGGCGGACGGGUGCGUAACGCGUAUGCAACCUGCCCCCAACAGGGGGAUAACGGAGAGAAAUUUCCACUAAUACCCCAUAAUAUCAGAAUCGGCAUCGGUUUUGGUUGAAAACUCCGGUGGUGGGAGAUGGGCAUGCGUUGUAUUAGAUAGUUGGUGAGGUAACGGCUCACCAAGUCAACGAUACAUAGGGGGACUGAGAGGUUAGCCCCCCGAACUGGUAAUGAGACACGGACCAGACUCCUACGGGAGGCAGCAGUGAGGAAUAUUGGUCAAUGGGGGCAACCCUGAACCAGCCAUGCCGCGUGCAGGAAGACGGCUCUAUGAGUUGUAAACUGCCUUUACAAGGGGAUAAAUCGGUGUACGUGUACACCGUUGAAGGUACCUUGGGAAUAAGGAUCGGCUAACUCCGUGCCAGCAGCCGCGGUAA
Molecule: ribosomal RNA, 506 nt
Filed under: uncultured bacterium
Lineage: Bacteria
Description: partial 16S ribosomal RNA
Rfam family: Bacterial small subunit ribosomal RNA
Source: RNAcentral